AGCGGUAGAGAGGUGCUUGCACCUCUUGAGAGCGGCGGACGGGUGAGUAAUGCCUAGGAAUCUGCCUGGUAGUGGGGGAUAACGCUCGGAAACGGACGCUAAUACCGCAUACGUCCUACGGGAGAAAGCAGGGGACCUUCGGGCCUUGCGCUAUCAGAUGAGCCUAGGUCGGAUUAGCUAGUUGGUGAGGUAAUGGCUCACCAAGGCGACGAUCCGUAACUGGUCUGAGAGGAUGAUCAGUCACACUGGAACUGAGACACGGUCCAGACUCCUACGGGAGGCAGCAGUGGGGAAUAUUGGACAAUGGGCGAAAGCCUGAUCCAGCCAUGCCGCGUGUGUGAAGAAGGUCUUCGGAUUGUAAAGCACUUUAAGUUGGGAGGAAGGGCAGUAAAUUAAUACUUUGCUGUUUUGACGUUACCGACAGAAUAAGCACCGGCUAACUCUGUGCCAGCAGCCGCGGUAAUACAGAGGGUGCAAGCGUUAAUCGGAAUUACUGGGCGUAAAGCGCGCGUAGGUGGUUCGUUAAGUUGGAUGUGAAAUCCCCGGGCUCAACCUGGGAACUGCAUUCAAAACUGUC
Molecule: ribosomal RNA, 577 nt
Filed under: Pseudomonas migulae
Lineage: Bacteria; Pseudomonadati; Pseudomonadota; Gammaproteobacteria; Pseudomonadales; Pseudomonadaceae
Description: bacterial SSU rRNA
Rfam family: Bacterial small subunit ribosomal RNA
Source: RNAcentral